UACGUAGGGCGCGAGCGUUGUCCGGAAUUAUUGGGCGUAAAGAGCUCGUAGGCGGCCUGUUGCGUCUGCUGUGAAAUCCCGGGGCUUAACCCCGGGCGUGCAGUGGAUACGGGCAGGCUGGAGGCAGGCAGGGGAGAAUGGAAUUCCCGAUGUAGCGGUGAAAUGCGCAGAUAUCGGGAGGAACACCGGUGGCGAAGGCGGUUCUCUGGGCCUGUUCUGACGCUGAGGAGCGAAAGCGUGGGGAGCGAACAGG
Molecule: ribosomal RNA, 253 nt
Filed under: uncultured bacterium
Lineage: Bacteria
Description: partial 16S ribosomal RNA
Rfam family: Bacterial small subunit ribosomal RNA
Source: RNAcentral